AUAUUGGACUAAGAAGCAUCUUGUAGAUACAUAUACUGUCCAGAAGUUUGAUGGUGAUAAUUUUAUGAAAAUGUGGAAUAGUGGAAGUAAUGAAACAACACAGAAAGUGAAUGGUAUGUUUGUUGAUUUUAUCAGUUACAUUAACAAGAUAUAUCGAGGAAGAUGUGGUAUGAGUGCCAAUGAGACAACUCUCCAUUCAAAUCACAAAUUAUUAUAGUAAACCACUAUAGGUCAAGGUACGGUCUUCAAAACAGCCUUGGCUCAAACUAAACAGCUAAAAAGGGCCCUAAAUAUUACAAGUGUAAAACCAUUCCAACCAGAAAACGAACAGUCUAAUAUACGAGAAACAAGAAACACUUAUGAGUAAGAGCAAAAAUUUGUCAGAUUGGAGAUUGAACACUGUGCCUGAGUAAAAGGACAAGUUGUUGUGACCUUGUGAGCUAGCAUGAUUAAAAAUCAUAGCUCAGCUUGUCAAUAUGAAAAUACGAUGUGGUAUGAUUGUCAAUGAGACAACUAUUCAACGUAGUUCUUUAUCAAUAGUCUUUCAAAUAAUCAUUGUAUUUCUCUUAAGGUGGUACCUAACACCUUGACUAAAAUUAAUUUGUCUUGUUUAAUUUUCAUAAAAGUUUGACAAAAUAUUUACUUUGACCAUUUGAAAAAAAAAAUUAAAUAUAAAAAUUUCAAAAAACUGGAACCAAUCACUUUCUCAGAUACUAAAUUUCAUUGGAUAUACAUUGUAUAGCAGUUUGAUAAACAUUUAUUUUGAUCAUUGAGAAGCUGAAUAUUUCUGUAACAAUACGAUGUAAUUAAAACGUUUAGCAGAUUUUACAGAGUAAUCUCCCUUUAGUGUUAGGUACCACCUUUAGCAGAAGCCAAACAUUUAAGAAAAGCUGAAUUAUUGCAUAUUUCAUUUAUUAAAUAACACAAAUAAUCCUGAAAAAAACCCAGAUAAUCUCUUAAUUUCUUAGGUUCCAAAUUAUGAUGAUUUACAAAUUGAAGCUGUUACAUAGUAAAUAUCAUCUGCACUUGUUGUUACAUAUAACAAUCAGUUAAUUCCCUUGAAUGAAUUGUAACAUCUGUUUCUUUAGAAUAGCAGUGAAUGCAAAAUCUUUUACAGCAAUAUAUUAGUUAUUUUCCACUGUAUUGUAUUUAAAAUUAUGAUUUAUAUGGACAUCCAUAACACUUUUUCUUAUUGCUAUACACCAUGUACACAAUAUAACUAACAUUUGUCUUUAUCUUUGCUUUCAGAUGCUUUGUGUUAUGUGAAGUUUUUGUUGGAUGAUACUUGAAACUGUUUGUUUCUAAGGAUUCAACAUUCUUUUAAUAAGUCUCCACAGAAGUAAAUAGAGAAAAUACAAUGCUGGACAUGUAUUAUUAACAGUACUGUUUGUACCUGGAUGAUGAUGCAUCAUUAUUUAUACAGAAAUAAUCUUGUGUUAGCAAAUUACUUGAUAAAAGAAAUUUAAAGGA
RNAcentral lists this long non-coding RNA (1470 nucleotides) under Mytilus galloprovincialis (Mediterranean mussel). The record is from RNAcentral. Lineage: Eukaryota; Metazoa; Mollusca; Bivalvia; Mytilida; Mytilidae.